GGAUAUAGCUCAGUUGGUAGAGUGCUUGCCUUGCAUGCACAAGGACCUGGGUUCAAGCCCCAGCACCA
Molecule: transfer RNA, 68 nt
Filed under: Marmota monax (woodchuck)
Lineage: Eukaryota; Metazoa; Chordata; Mammalia; Rodentia; Sciuridae
Description: tRNA.Ala
Rfam family: tRNA (bases 6-63)
About the family: Transfer RNA (tRNA) molecules are approximately 80 nucleotides in length. Their secondary structure includes four short double-helical elements and three loops (D, anti-codon, and T loops).
Source: RNAcentral